This 509-nucleotide ribosomal RNA is filed under the name uncultured bacterium. Its description in RNAcentral is "bacterial SSU rRNA". It matches the Rfam family "Bacterial small subunit ribosomal RNA", at positions 15 to 518 of the family's 1533-position model. The record is from RNAcentral.
GAUUAUGGCUCAGGAUGAACGCUAGCGGCAGGCUUAACACAUGCAAGUCGAGGGGCAUCGGGAGUAGCAAUACUUGCCGGCGACCGGCGCAAGGGUGCGUAACGCGUGAGCAACAUGCCCGUAUCAGGGGGAUAAUCCAUGGAAACGUGGUCUAAUACCCCAUAGUAAUUAUGUAAGGCAUCUUAUAUAAUUUAAAGCUUUGGUGGAUACGGAUUGGCUCGCGUGACAUUAGCUGGAUGGUAAGGUAACGGCUUACCAUGGCUACGAUGUCUAGGGGUUCUGAGAGGAAGGUCCCCCACACUGGAACUGAGACACGGUCCAGACUCCUACGGGAGGCAGCAGUGAGGAAUAUUGGACAAUGGAUGGAAAUCUGAUCCAGCCAUGCCGCGUGCCAGGAAGACGGCCCUAUGGGUUGUAAACUGCUUUUGUAUAGGAGCAAUAAGGGCUACGUGUAGUCCGAUGAGAGUACCAUACGAAUAAGCACCGGCUAACUCCGUGCCAGCCGCGGC